RNAcentral lists this transfer RNA (80 nucleotides) under Caldisphaera lagunensis DSM 15908. Its description in RNAcentral is "tRNA-Asp". It matches the Rfam family "tRNA". From Rfam's summary of the family: Transfer RNA (tRNA) molecules are approximately 80 nucleotides in length. Their secondary structure includes four short double-helical elements and three loops (D, anti-codon, and T loops). The record is from RNAcentral. Lineage: Archaea; Thermoproteati; Thermoproteota; Thermoprotei; Acidilobales; Acidilobaceae.
GCCGCGGUCGUAUAGUCUGGCCUAGUAUGCGGGCCUGUCAAUAGCCCGUGACCCGGGUUCAAAUCCCGGCCGCGGCGCCA